UAAAAUAAAGCGAUGUGUAUUGCGUUCAGUUUCGGCCUGAAUUUAGAAAAUUUCUAUUUUUUAA
Molecule: transfer RNA, 64 nt
Filed under: Rhipicephalus evertsi
Lineage: Eukaryota; Metazoa; Arthropoda; Arachnida; Ixodida; Ixodidae
Description: tRNA-Arg
Source: RNAcentral